RNAcentral lists this ribosomal RNA (443 nucleotides) under uncultured bacterium. RNAcentral describes it as "partial 16S ribosomal RNA". It matches the Rfam family "Bacterial small subunit ribosomal RNA", at positions 338 to 795 of the family's 1533-position model. The record is from RNAcentral.
CCUACGGGUGGCAGCAGUGGGGAAUAUUGGGCAAUGGAGGCAACUCUUACCCAGCAAUGCCGCGUGAAUGAAGAAGGUCUUCGGAUUGUAAAGUUCUUUAAUUGGGGACGAAAAAAAUGACGGUACCCAAGGAAUAAGCCCCGGCUAACUACGUGCCAGCAGCCGCGGUAAUACGUAGGGGGCAAGCGUUGUUCGGAAUGACUGGGCGUAAAGGGUGUGUAGGCGGGACUGCAAGUCAGAUGUGAAACCCAUGGGCUCAACCCAUGGCCUGCAUUUGUAACUGUAGUUCUUGAGUGAUGGAGAGGCAGGCGGAAUUCCGUGUGUAGCGGUGAAAUGCGUAGAUAUACGGAGGAACACCAGUGGCGAAGGCGGCCUGCUGGACAUUAACUGACGCUGAGGCGCGAAAGCGUGGGGAGCAAACAGGAUUAGAUACCCGGGUAGUC